This is a long non-coding RNA of Athene cunicularia (burrowing owl), 2253 nucleotides long. RefSeq lists it as uncharacterized. NCBI's taxonomy places the organism in Eukaryota, Metazoa, Chordata, Aves, Strigiformes, Strigidae. The record is from RefSeq and is a predicted model, not a curated record. The transcript is spliced from 4 exons.
ACCGUGAGUAUGCAAGUACGGUGUGGUUUACACCGUGAAUGUGCAAGCGGUGUGUAGGUUGCAACGUGUGCAUGUAAGGAAGGUGUAGUUUGCACUGUGUGUGCACAAGUGGGGUGUAAACCACUGUGAGUGUGCAAGUGGGGUGUAGUUUACACUGUAAGUGUGCAAGCGGGGUGUGGUUUACACUGUGAAUGUGCACGCGGGGUGUAGGUUGCAGUGUGUGUGUGUAAGGAAGGUGUAGUUUGCACUGUGUGUGCGCGAGUGGGGUGUAAACUGCACUGUGUGCAAGUGGGGUGUGGUUUACACUGUGAGUAUGCAAGCGGGGUGGAGUUUGCACUGUGUGUGUGUGUAAGGAAGGUGUAGUUUGCACUGUGUGUGCGCAAGUGGUGUGUAAACCACUGUGAGUGUGCAAGUGGGGUGUAGUUUACACCGUGAGAGUGCAAGCAGGGUGUAGGUUGCACUGUGUGUGUGUGUAAGGAAGAUGUAGUUUACACUGUGUGGGUGCGUGAGGUGUAAACAGCACUGUGAGUGUGCAAGCGGGGUGUAGGUCACACUGCACAUGUGUAAGUAGUGUGUAGGUUGCACUGAGUGUGCAAAUGAGGUGUAGUUUGCCGAGUACAUGUGUAAACAGCUGUAACUCGCUCCUUGUGUGUGCAAAGGGGUGUAGCUCGUGCUAUGCGCGUGUAAGCAGGGUGUAGUUUGCACUGCGUGAGGUGAACGGGGUGUAGCUCGUGCGCUGUGUGUGCAAACGGGUGUAACUAGCACUGUGAGGGUGUAAGCAGGGUGUAGGUUUGCACUGUGGGUGUACAAGCGGGCUGUAGGUUGCGUCGUGGGUGUAACCAUGGUAUAGGUUGCACCACAGGUGUGCAAGUGGGGUGUAGUUUGCACUGUGUGUGUGCAAGUGGGGUGUAGGUUGCACUCAGUGUGUAACCAUGGUGUAGGCUGUGCUGUGGGUGUGCCAGCGAAUUGUAGGUUGCACCAUGUGUGUAACCGUGGUGUAAGUCAUGCUGUGGGUGUGCAAGCAGGGUGUAGCUUGUGACAUGUGUGUAACCAUGGUGUAGGUUGCGCCGUGAGUGUGCAAGUGGGGUGUAGGUUGCUCUGCGGGUGUGCAAGCGGGGUGUAGGUUGCACCGUGUGUGUAACCAUGGUGUAGGUUGUGCUGCGAGUGUGCAAGCGGGGUGUAGGUUGCCCCGCACACGUAUAGAAGUGGACACCGUGUGUGCAUCUUCCACUGUGCGUGUGUAAGGGAGGUUUAAGUUGCACCAUGUGUGUAACUCCAGUGUAGGUUGCGCCGCGAGUGCGCAAGUGGGAUGUAGGUUGCACCAUGUGUGUAACCAUGGUGUAGGUUGCCCUGUGGGUGUGCGAGCAAGGUGUAGGUUGCACCGUGUGUGUAACCAUGGUGUAGGUUGCCCUGCAGGUGUGCAAGCAGGGUGUAGGUUGUGCCCUGUGUGUAACCACGGUGUACGUUGCCCUGUUUGUGUGCGAGCAAUGUGUAGGUUGCGCUGUGUGUGUAACCAGAGUGUAGGUUGCACCAUUGGUGUGCAAGCAGGGUGUAGGUUGCACCGUGUGCGUAACUGUGUUGUAGGUUGCGCCACGAGUGUGCAAGCGGGGUGUAGGUUGCGCUGUGUGUAACUGUGGUGUAGCUUGCGCCAUGAGUAUGCAACAGGGGUGUAGGUUGCACCGUGUGUGUAACUGUGGUGUAGGUUGUGCCAUGAGUGUGCAAGCAGGGUGUAGGUUGCACUGUGUGUGUAACCCCGGUGUAGGUUGCCCCGUGGGUGUGCAAGCGGGGUGUAGGUUGCACCGGCACAUGUAGGAGAGGAUUUACAAGGACAUGCAGGUGCCCACGUGCGCUCACGAGGGGGGUGUGUGUGUGUAAUUCUCUAGGGGAUCAGCGUGCGUGUGUGUGUGCACGUGCACGUGCACGCGUGCACGAGGGUGCUCUAUAGGGGAUGACGCGUUUAUGGGGGUGUGUGCUACAGGGGCUGCGGGGAGUAAUCUAUAGGGGAUGUACUCUGUGGAGUAAAGGGUGUGUAAUCUAUAGGGGAUGUACUCUGUGGAGUAAGGGGGGUGUAAUCUAUAGGGGAUGUACUCUAUAGAGUAAGGAGUGUGUAAUCUAUAGGGGAUGUACUCUAUGGAGUAAGGAGGGUGUAAUCUAUAGGGGAUGUACUCUAUGGAGUAAGGGGUGUGUAAUCUAUAGGGGAUGUACUCUAUGGAGUAAGAGGUGUGUAAUCUAUAGGGGAUGUAUAUGGAGUAA